GGUGGUAAUUUCAUCUAAAGCUAAAUAUAGGUUCGAGACCGAUAGCAAACAAGUACCAUGAGGGAAAGAUGAAAAGGACUUUGGAAAGAGAGUUAAAAGUGCCUGAAAUCGCUGAAGGGGAAGCGAAUGGAACCAGUGUUCCUUGGCGAGACUGUUGCACGCUAAGCUGAUCGCCGGCUGCUUUUCACCGCAAGGGGGGCUGUUGGUUUUGAUGUGGAUGUGUGCGGUGUUUCUCGCCUUGAUUGUCAACGUCGAUUCGGAUUUGAGGAAAACUCAAGGGACAUGGUAGUUCGCCCAUGGGUGACCGAACGUGCCUUGCAGAACUCAAGUCUGGAUUGAAGCUUUCGCGUCUGGUUGCAUCGAAGCGGUGCCUGCUCCCUAAGAUUCUGCUCAUCCUGGGGAACACUCGCAGGAUGAUUUGAUUGGGGGGGGG
This 433-nucleotide ribosomal RNA is filed under the name Gyrodinium viridescens. RNAcentral's name for it is "LSU rRNA". It matches the Rfam family "Eukaryotic large subunit ribosomal RNA", at positions 295 to 605 of the family's 3401-position model. The record is from RNAcentral. Lineage: Eukaryota; Dinophyceae; Gymnodiniales; Gymnodiniaceae.